GGCUCGUUGGUCUAGGGGUAUGAUUCUCGCUUUGGGUGCGAAAGGUCCCGGGUUCAAAUCCCGGACGAGCCC
Molecule: transfer RNA, 72 nt
Filed under: Pomacea canaliculata
Lineage: Eukaryota; Metazoa; Mollusca; Gastropoda; Architaenioglossa; Ampullariidae
Description: tRNA-Pro
Rfam family: tRNA
About the family: Transfer RNA (tRNA) molecules are approximately 80 nucleotides in length. Their secondary structure includes four short double-helical elements and three loops (D, anti-codon, and T loops).
Source: Rfam by way of RNAcentral